GUUAGAUAUUCUCAAUUUUUUAGUAGAAAACAUAUUUUAUUCUCUACAAAAAUAAUGUUCCUACAAAUCUCACUUGAUUCACGGAUUAUAUAAGUUUCUAAGGCAACCUUAGGCCGUCAUUCCCCAUUUCAUAUUCACCUUAAUUUAAUUUAUUUAUUUUAAUUUUUUUUUUAAAAUUUUUCUCUUUAUCAUCAAUCUUACCAUUAAUCAUAUUCGUAAUGGAAGAAAUUCAAGCUAACCUUAUUCAAUCUUCGUUAAAGCCAAAAAAUACUAGCAAUCUUCUUGCAAAAAGCGUGAUUAUUAACAAGGAUGAGAGAGAUGAAGAGGAAGGGGAGAAAUACUACAUAAUAGUAACGAGUCAACAAAAAAACUUCCAUCAACUUUAUUUUGUAAAAUUUUCAGCAUUGAAAGCAAAAAUCCAGAGGGCCAAGGAGUUAACCAAUAAAUUGCACAAGGAAAAAAGUAUCAUUUUGGAUGAAAUAGGCAAUAUGAAGGAUAGAAUACUCAAAGAAAGUAAGGAGUUGAGAUGGAAUAGUGUGCACGGUAUAAGGAUUCAUUUUCUUGAAUGUAACGUAAGAAUUGAAAUUAGAGAUGAUGUGUUUUUUUUUUUGAAGUAAUUAAAAAAAAUGAAUUGAAAGCAUAUACUUGUAUAUUGUUACACAUACAGACAUACUUGCUCACCUUCUAUGUUUUAUUGAUAGGAUUGGGAUCCAGAAUUGGAACCAGAACUCGAGUCUAUAAACAUUGAUAAAAAAAUUCAAAAGUUAUGCUAUCAAUUUACUCAUGGGAGUAAAAAUAUAGCCAAUGAAAGAAGGAUAAUUAGCGAGUUUAAAGAAUUACAAACAAGAAAGGAGAAAUUUUAUAAACAUGACAAAACAACAAGAAAUAAUGUACAAGUAAUACAACUACAACACCUUAUUCUGGAGGGUUUGAAUGAAGUGAAAAAUCGACAAGAGAAAGAAAGAAUAGUGAAACGAAAUAAGGUUGCGAUAGCAAAGGAAAUUACGUCUUUGGAAGAAAAGCUAGCUAAAAUUAACCAAAAGAGAGCAAAGGUGAACGAAUUCAUUAUAACAGCCGAGAAGCAGCUUAAUGAUCAGUUUGACGAAUUCAUGUCUCAAUGGAAGUAUAGAGACAAUCUGUUUGGAGCAAAUUGUCAAAGAAGUAUGAUGCUAUCACUUGAAGGUCUGAAGCUUAGUCAUGGAGAUCGAAACAACGAAACAUGAUAAUCAAUUAGAAGCUAAUUUAUUUAACAGCAAGAUUAAAACUUCACAAGAAAAAUUAUUAUUUGUACUUCAAACUUUUUUUUACUAAAUUGUGUUAAGUUCAACUUAUUAG
Chenopodium quinoa (quinoa) is the source of this 1335-nucleotide long non-coding RNA. RefSeq lists it as uncharacterized. The transcript has 4 exons. Lineage: Eukaryota; Viridiplantae; Streptophyta; Magnoliopsida; Caryophyllales; Amaranthaceae. The record is from RefSeq and is a predicted model, not a curated record.